CAGCCAAACAUAAAGAAAUGAAGAAAGCUCGAAGGAAAUGUUUUCCUGACUUCUCUAUUUAUCUAAAAUAUACACACAAGACAUACAAACUGCUGGGUAUAUACUCAAACAUCUUUGAUAAUUCGUCUUCAAAGGCAGCCCAGUACAUAUGCACACCAGUUUCAAACAAACCUCGCCUCCGCCAGUGUCUAGCAGCCAACUUAGAACUGAUGCAGACCAGGGGAAUCCUACUGUUUAAUUAAAACAAAGCAUAGAGAAGGCCUGAGGCAGGUGUUGAUGCGAUGUGAUUUCUGCCCAGUGCUCUGAAUGUCAAAGUGAAGAAAUUCCAUGAAGCACCGCUAAGUGGCAGGAGUAACCAUGACUCUCUUAAGAUAGCCAAAAUGCCUUGUCAUCUGAUUAGUGACUCACACGAAUGGAUGAGAGAUUCCCACUGUCUCUACCUACUAUCCAUCGAAACCACAGCCAAGGGAAUGGGCUUGG
Ribosomal RNA from Ovis aries (sheep), 480 nucleotides. It matches the Rfam family "Eukaryotic large subunit ribosomal RNA", at positions 1891 to 2388 of the family's 3401-position model. The record is from Rfam. NCBI's taxonomy places the organism in Eukaryota, Metazoa, Chordata, Mammalia, Artiodactyla, Bovidae.